UACGUAGGUCCCGAGCGUUGUCCGGAUUUAUUGGGCGUAAAGCGAGCGCAGGUGGUUUAUUAAGUCUGGUGUAAAAGGCAGUGGCUCAACCACUGUAUGCAUUGGAAACUGGUAGACUUGAGUGCAGGAGAGGAGGGUGGAAUUCCAUGUGUAGCGGUGAAAUGCGUAGAUAUAUGGAGGAACACCGGUGGCGAAAGCGGCUCUCUGGCCUGUAACUGACACUGAGGCUCGAAAGCGUGGGGAGCAAACAGG
This 252-nucleotide ribosomal RNA is filed under the name uncultured bacterium. Its description in RNAcentral is "partial 16S ribosomal RNA". It matches the Rfam family "Bacterial small subunit ribosomal RNA", at positions 524 to 776 of the family's 1533-position model. The record is from RNAcentral.